This is a long non-coding RNA of Leopardus geoffroyi (Geoffroy's cat), 674 nucleotides long. RefSeq lists it as uncharacterized. The transcript is spliced from 3 exons. The record is from RefSeq and is a predicted model, not a curated record. NCBI's taxonomy places the organism in Eukaryota, Metazoa, Chordata, Mammalia, Carnivora, Felidae.
GCCUUUUGCUAAAUCAAAUCUGAUUUUCCCGAAGCCGACCCUCAUAAAAGCAGCACCCAGUUCCAAGUGGCAGUGGGAGGAGCCGCCAGCAGAUUCACAGCUGAUUCUUCUAUAGCAGGGGCCGGUCAGAGGAAACGUGUUAGUUGUUGAAGGCCACGCGGUCUCUGUUGCAACUACUCAACUCUGCUGUUGUCCAACAAAAGCAACCACAGACUGUGGCAACCACAGAUGUGGCUGUGCUUCCGUAAGACUUGAUUUAUAAAAACACAACCCACCGUUCACCGGCCCCUGUCCCACCGCUCCUAUACUCGAACCCAGGGCUCAGACUCUAAACUCCUGUAGCUGUGGGAACCGAAAACCAGAUGUGCUCCGAAAGCUACAAAGACGGAAUCAUGACGAAGAGGCCACUUGUGCAAUACGCAGAUACAGGAGUUGUGUGACAGUUGUUAAGGCCCCACGGCUCUGUCGGGAGCACGCUUCGGCCACCUCGGAACACCCCCUUCCUUCGUGAGCAUCCACGGGCACGGGGGCGAGGGAACACAGAAGGGACAGGUGGGCAAGGACCAUUUUCAGACACAUGGGAAAUGUUCCGUCUGCAGUGGAGACUGCGGGCAGGCUCCGUGAAUCAAUCAUUUCCUUGCAUUAACCCCUAAAUAGAACCAACAGAAACCCAA